Molecule: ribosomal RNA, 474 nt
Filed under: uncultured bacterium
Lineage: Bacteria
Description: bacterial SSU rRNA
Rfam family: Bacterial small subunit ribosomal RNA
Source: RNAcentral
ACUCCUACGGGAGGCAGCAGUGGGGAAUAUUGCACAAUGGGCGCAAGCCUGAUGCAGCCAUGCCGCGUGUAUGAAGAAGGCCUUCGGGUUGUAAAGUACUUUCAGCAGUGAGGAAGGUGGAGUCGUUAAUAGCGGCCUCAUUUGACGUUAGCUGCAGAAGAAGCACCGGCUAACUCCGUGCCAGCAGCCGCGGUAAUACGGAGGGUGCGAGCGUUAAUCGGAAUUACUGGGCGUAAAGCGCAUGCAGGCGGCCUGUUAAGUCAGAUGUGAAAGCCCGGGGCUUAACCUCGGAAUUGCAUUUGAAACUGGCAGGCUAGAGUCUUGUAGAGGGGGGUAGAAUUUCAGGUGUAAGCGGUGAAAUGCGUAGAGAUCUGAAGGAAUACCAGUGGCGAAGGCGGCCCCCUGGACAAAGACUGACGCUCAGAUGCGAAAGCGUGGGGAGCAAACAGGAUUAGAUACCCUGGUAGGAUAGCG